RNAcentral lists this ribosomal RNA (424 nucleotides) under uncultured prokaryote. RNAcentral's name for it is "bacterial SSU rRNA". It matches the Rfam family "Bacterial small subunit ribosomal RNA", at positions 355 to 776 of the family's 1533-position model. RNAcentral also lists the same sequence under 1 other name. The record is from RNAcentral.
UGAGGAAUAUUGGUCAAUGGAGGCAACUCUGAACCAGCCAAGUCGCGUGAAGGAAGACUGCCCUAAGGGUUGUAAACUUCUUUUGUAAGGGAAUAAAGUGUAGUACGUGUACUAUUUUGCAUGUACCUUACGAAUAAGGAUCGGCUAACUCCGUGCCAGCAGCCGCGGUAAUACGGAGGAUCCGAGUGUUAUCCGGAUUUAUUGGGUUUAAAGGGUGCGCAGGCGGAAGAUUAAGUCGGCGGUGAAAUUUUGCAGCUCAACUGUAAAAGUGCCUUCGAAACUGGUUUUCUUGAGUGUAGAUGAAGUAGGCGGAAUUUGUGGUGUAGCGGUGAAAUGCUUAGAUAUCACAAAGAACUCCGAUUGCGCAGGCAGCUUACUAAACUACAACUGACGCUCAGGCACGAAGGCGUGGGUAUCGAACAGG